This 538-nucleotide ribosomal RNA is filed under the name uncultured soil bacterium. RNAcentral's name for it is "bacterial SSU rRNA". It matches the Rfam family "Bacterial small subunit ribosomal RNA", at positions 8 to 524 of the family's 1533-position model. The record is from RNAcentral.
AGAGUUUGAUCCUGGCUCAGAACGAACGCUGGCGGCGUGGAUAAGACAUGCAAGUCGAGCGAGAUUUUUCGUUGUAGCAAUACGAUGGAAAGUCUAGCGGCGAACGGGUGCUUAACACGUGGGCAACCUGCCAUGAAGUGGGGGAUAGCUCGCCGAAAGGCGAAUUAAUACCGCAUGUGAUUAGAGAGGACAUCCUUUCGAAAUUAAAGUCGGGGCAACCUGACGCUUCUUGUGGGGCCCGCGGCCUAUCAGCUAGUUGGUGAGGUAACGGCUCACCAAGGCGUUGACGGGUAGCUGGUCUGAGAGGACGACCAGCCACACUGGGACUGAGACACGGCCCAGACACCUACGGGUGGCAGCAGUCGAGAAUUUUUGACAAUGGGGGAAACCCUGAUCGAGCGACGCCGCGUGGAGGAUGAAGGUCUUCGGAUUGUAAACUCCUGUCAUUUGGGAACAAGGUGUGCGCGUUAACUGCGCGCGCAUUGAUAGUACCAGAAGAGGAAGAGACGGCUAACUCUGUGCCAGCAGCCGCGGUAAU